GAAUUCGCCCUUAGAGUUUGAUCCUGGCUCAGGACGAACGCUGGCGGCGUGCCUAACACAUGCAAGUCGAACGGAACCCCUUGGAAAGAGUUUUCGGACAAUGGAAGAGGGCGUUUAGUGGCGGACGGGUGAGUAACGCGUGAGCAAUCUACCUUUCAGAGGGGGACAACAGUUGGAAACGACUGCUAAUACCGCAUAACGUAUCUUUGCGGCAUCGUAGGGAUACCAAAGAUUUAUCGCUGAGAGAUGAGCUCGCGUCCAAUUAGCUAGAUGGCGGGGUAAAGGCCCACCAUGGCGACGAUUGGUAGCCGGACUGAGAGGUUGAACGGCCACAUUGGGACUGAGACACGGCCCAGACUCCUACGGGAGGCAGCAGUGGGGGAUAUUGCGCAAUGGGGGAAACCCUGACGCAGCAACGCCGCGUGAAGGAAGAAGGUCUUCGGAUUGUAAACUUUUGUCUUGUGGGACGAAUCAAUGACGGUACCACAGGAGGAAGCCACGGCUAACUACGUGCCAGCAGCCGCGGUAAAACGUAGGGUGCAAGCGUUGUCCGGAAUUACUGGGUGUAAAGGGAGCGCAGGCGGACCGGCAAGUUGGAAGUGAAAACUAUGGGCUUAACCCAUAAAUUGCUUUCAAAACUGCUGGCCUUGAGUAGUGCAGAGGUAGGUGGAAUUCCCGGUGUAGCGGUGGAAUGCGUAGAUAUCGGGAGGAACACCAGUGGCGAAGGCGACCUACUGGGCACCAACUGACGCUGAGGCUCGAAAGCAUGGGUAGCAAACAGGAUUAGAUACCCUGGUAGUCCAUGCCGUAAACGAUGAUU
This 820-nucleotide ribosomal RNA is filed under the name uncultured bacterium. Its description in RNAcentral is "bacterial SSU rRNA". It matches the Rfam family "Bacterial small subunit ribosomal RNA", at positions 1 to 814 of the family's 1533-position model. The record is from RNAcentral.